AGAGUUUGAUCCUGGCUCAGGACGAACGCUGGCGGCGCGCCUAACACAUGCAAGUCGAACGAGCGAGAGAGAGCUUGCUUUCUCGAGCGAGUGGCGAACGGGUGAGUAACGCGUGAGGAACCUGCCUCAAAGAGGGGGACAACAGUUGGAAACGACUGCUAAUACCGCAUAAGCCCACAGCUCGGCAUCGAGCAGAGGGAAAAGGAGCAAUCCGCUUUGAGAUGGCCUCGCGUCCGAUUAGCUAGUUGGUGAGGUAAUGGCCCACCAAGGCGACGAUCGGUAGCCGGACUGAGAGGUUGAACGGCCACAUUGGGACUGAGACACGGCCCAGACUCCUACGGGAGGCAGCAGUGGGGAAUAUUGCACAAUGGGGGAAACCCUGAUGCAGCGACGCCGCGUGGAGGAAGAAGGUCUUCGGAUUGUAAACUCCUGUUGUUGAGGAAGAUAAUGACGGUACUCAACAAGGAAGUGACGGCUAACUACGUGCCAGCAGCCGCGGUAAAACGUAGGUCACAAGCGUUGUCCGGAAUUACUGGGUGUAAAGGGAGCGCAGGCGGGAAGACAAGUUGGAAGUGAAAUCUAUGGGCUCAACCCAUAAACUGCUUUCANAACUGUUUUUCUUGAGUAGUGCAGAGGUANGCGGAAUUCCCGGUGUAGCGGUGGAAUGCGUAGAUAUCGGGAGGAACGCCAGUGGCGAAGGCGGCCUACUGGGCACCAACUGACGCUGAGGCUCGAAAGUGUGGGUAGCAAACAGGAUUAGAUACCCUGGUAGUCCACACCGUAAACGAUGAUUACUAGGUGUUGGAGGAUUGACCCCUUCAGUGCCGCAGUUAACACAAUAAGUAAUCCACCUGGGGAGUACGACCGCAAGGUUGAAACUCAAAGGAAUUGACGGGGGCCCGCACAAGCAGUGGAGUAUGUGGUUUAAUUCGACGCAACGCGAAGAACCUUACCAAGUCUUGACAUCCCUUGACGAUGCUGGAAACAGUAUUUCUCUUCGGAGCAAGGAGACAGGUGGUGCAUGGUUGUCGUCAGCUCGUGUCGUGAGAUGUUGGGUUAAGUCCCGCAACGAGCGCAACCCUUACUGUCAGUUACUACGCAAGAGGACUCUGGCAGGACUGCCGUUGACAAAACGGAGGAAGGUGGGGAUGACGUCAAAUCAUCAUGCCCUUUAUGACUUGGGCUACACACGUACUACAAUGGCGUUAAACAAAGAGAAGCAAGACCGCGAGGUGGAGCAAAACUCAGAAACAACGUCCCAGUUCGGACUGCAGGCUGCAACUCGCCUGCACGAAGUCGGAAUUGCUAGUAAUCGUGGAUCAGCAUGCCACGGUGAAUACGUUCCCGGGCCUUGUACACACCGCCCGUC
This 1369-nucleotide ribosomal RNA is filed under the name uncultured bacterium. RNAcentral's name for it is "bacterial SSU rRNA". It matches the Rfam family "Bacterial small subunit ribosomal RNA". The record is from RNAcentral.